RNAcentral lists this ribosomal RNA (254 nucleotides) under uncultured bacterium. RNAcentral describes it as "partial 16S ribosomal RNA". It matches the Rfam family "Bacterial small subunit ribosomal RNA", at positions 87 to 358 of the family's 1533-position model. The record is from RNAcentral.
CGGGUCUAGUGGCGCACGGGUGCGUUUCUCGUCGGAAUCUGCCAAUGAAAUCGGAAUAACUCAGAGAAAUUUGAGCUAAUACCGGAUGAUGACGAAAGUCCAAAGAUUUAUCGCCCAGGGAUGAGCCCGCGUAAGAUUAGCUUGUUGGUGGGGUAAUGGCCCACCAAGGCGACGAUCUUUAGCUGGUCUGAGAGGAUGAUCAGCCACACUGGGACUGAGACACGGCCCAGACUCCUACGGGAGGUAUCAGUGGG